Molecule: ribosomal RNA, 253 nt
Filed under: uncultured bacterium
Lineage: Bacteria
Description: partial 16S ribosomal RNA
Rfam family: Bacterial small subunit ribosomal RNA
Source: RNAcentral
UACGAAGGGGGCUAGCGUUGCUCGGAAUCACUGGGCGUAAAGGGUGCGUAGGUGGGUUGGUAAGUCAGUGGUGAAAUACUUUCGCUUAACGAAGGAACUGCCAUUGAUACUAUCAAUCUUGAAUGUAGUGGAGGUAGGCGGAAUGCGUCAUGUAGCGGUGAAAUGCUUAGAUAUGACGCAGAACACCAAUUGCGAAGGCAGCUUGCUACACUACUAUUGACACUGAGGCACGAAAGCGUGGGGAUCAAACAGG